Styela clava is the source of this 444-nucleotide non-coding RNA. NCBI's taxonomy places the organism in Eukaryota, Metazoa, Chordata, Ascidiacea, Stolidobranchia, Styelidae. The record is from RefSeq and is a predicted model, not a curated record.
UGGAUAUUGGGUUCAUGCUUUAACCGGGGAGAGAAAAGCUUACAAAAAGGUAAUCACGUGGUUGACAAUUUGGUGAAUAAAGCUGUUACUGAGCAAUGUGAAUUAACCUGCAUUGAAAAGAAGUUAAGUAAUCAAGGAAUUCUAUUAGCGGUGAGAUGGUGCUAAAAUUUGACACAUUUAUGCACGACUUUUAUAACUACCACACACAAGUACAAACAUCGAUUUGAUUUCACUCUGCUCCUCGAGUUCUCUCAGGUAGACCAAUGACGUUGUUUAAUGUCAUUCGGCAGACGAACGCAGACAAACAAUAUUUUGGAACGUGCCUUGCAACCGCACGAUACAAGCCGUUCAUCUGACCGAGAUCAUAUUCUGCAGACUUCAGCCUAUUUCGAUUUGGAAUUUGUUUUUUCACCUUUUUCAUCGGUUAAGUGUUGAAGAUCGUGC